RNAcentral lists this unclassified non-coding RNA (4920 nucleotides) under Leishmania donovani. RNAcentral's name for it is "gene:LdHU3.24.0300(CDS-product:protein_phosphotas e_putative)". The record is from RNAcentral. Lineage: Eukaryota; Euglenozoa; Kinetoplastea; Trypanosomatida; Trypanosomatidae.
UCAAACACGCGGCUUUCAGACACUCGACGCACGCGCAGACGUAACGCGGAGCCCCACGCUGCUUUCUCUCCCUCUCAUGCUGUGCGGGUCGCCUUUUCCACGCACUUCGGAUCAGCCCUCUCUCCAGCGUUCGCAACCUGCUGCGUCAGCACCAGAUGGAUCCCACAGCUCAUGAAAGGCGGCUCACGUGUGAGGGAGACGGUGCGCGAUCCACCGCCGGCGUCAACGGAAUCAUCAGUAUCGCUACCCCCGCAGGACCUCAGCACCAGUCGCUCGAAAGUGGUUGCCGUCCCGCGCCACGGCGGCGGCGCUGUUGUGAGGUGGCACAAAGAUAGUCCCGCGGUCAAGGUAACGGCGGCGGAUGCGGCAGUGCACGCCAGUUGGGUGAGUGCGGCACACCUCUUCGUCAACCCGCACACAGACACGGUGCAACUGACACUCCUGCAGCCUGGGGUGCGCACCUACGUUGAUGGCCAGCGCCUGAUGCGAAUCGGCUCUCCCGUAGAGGUGCGGGCAACCCAGCGCAUAUCCUUUGGUGCGGACCCGACGUCCUACAUGAUAACGCCGGCCCCGCGCGACCUCGUUCCGGGCACGCAUGCAGCGUGCCCGCCGCCACCGUUGGCGGUGCCGGCGUAUCCGGCAGCGGUAAGUCGGGAGGGGCAGACGUCGUCGCUUUCCACGUCACCGCCCUCGUGCUUUUCACCCUGUCUAGACUGCUCUCUGCCACCGCUGUGCGUUGACGGAGUGGGGGAGCGAGACGCAGCCACAGCUGUCUCAACGUCUCCAGAGGCCUUGAAAGCCGGUGUCGCACCAGCGAACACGGGAUCGAGGCAGAGCGACACACCGCGCGAGGCUGUUUCAGAAUCCCCACUUCUGGCAGCGCCACGGGCCUCGAAAAUGCGCGGGUGUUGCCUUACCCACGCGUCGCGCAGCAUCGCCGUCAAGACCGCCUCUACUGCAGAGGACGCAAGCGCUGUCUGCCGGACGGCGGAGAAGUGUGCCAUCAGCGCACCGCUGACGGAGAGGACAUCAACGGACCUUCUCGUGCAGUGCACCGCGACGGUAGCACGUUGCUCUGCGGACGUGGUGAGUACCACUACCGGUGCUGCUUUACCGCCUGUCUACUCGGAGGAGGAGCAGCUCGGGGCCGCGGCGUGCUCACCGUCGCAGGGCCUCACUGGUGAGCACGCGAACUCACUCGCAUCCCUCUGCAACGAAACGGCUGAGCUGGCGCGGCGAGGAAUCUUCAAUGAUGAGUCGCGAGCGCGCACGCAUCUCCACAUCAGGCCGUGCUGGACUUUGGGCCCCGUCACCAGUGUGCGCUCCCCGGACUGGGAGGUGCUGCGCGCCAUGCAGGGUGACACAACACCACCGGUGCCACACGGCAUCUACCAGUUCAGCUGCGGCAGCGUCGGCUUCGAUGAUGCGAUGAUGCAGCUUCGCAGAGGACGCGUUGGCCCUCUGGCACCGUCAGCGGGGGAGGUGAGACAACGGCCACAGCCCCUGAGGCCGCACUUGCGACGGUCUGGCGCGGCCCGGCACUGUGUAGCCCGCCACCCCAGUCGCAGGCUCUCUUUGGAGUUCGCCGAGCGCAUCUCCAUCGAUGUGGAGGGCGGAGGCAAAGCAGCAGCCACGCACGCGACGCCUUCGUCAAGGGAUGAGGCGGUCACCGAGCCCUCCAGUGUCCUGAGCAGUGACCUCACCGCUACCCAGAGUGCAUGUCGGCGUCCUUAUAUGCGGGAAAAGCUGCACUUGUGUCCGCGCGUGCCGGUGAACCCGUUUAUCGUCGAGGCUUUCGGCAAGACGCAUCGGUAUCGACCGCUGGCUCACCUGAGCGACACGCAGCACGCAGACAGCAGUGGCAGCAGCGCCAAGAGCGGUGAUGGGGGUGCGCCAGUGGACGUCUUCGACCGGUUUGCUGGCGUGCCAUGGCGGCACCCGAUCGUCGCCGACGAGAUGGUGACCCCGCGAACGGAGGCGCUGCUGCGCGAUAUCCUGCGGCGCCAUCCUGACUCGACGUCGGCGUCCGAAGACGCGACCUUUCUGCACUGCGCCCUGCGACGCUCAUACGACGCGGAUGGAGACCGCUUCUCGUACGUGGACUCACCAGCAUUCGUGCAGCUGAUCUACACGAGAUUCUCCUCUUUGCUAACGGCUAUCAAGGCACGUUUGCAGGCGAGUCGUCCCGUGUUGCGCCUGUCGUCCCCGCUGCUGUGCGGCGGCGAUUUACUGGGCAGCUUCGCGGACCUGAUGGUGCUGCUCGACAGCGUCGCCCAUUUUGCCCACUGGUCUACGAUGCACACGUCGCUGCUGCUGCUCGGCAACUACGUGGACGUCGGCUGGCACAGCGUAGAGGUGUGCAUGCUGCUGUGCUGUUGGGCGUAUUUGCAACCAGGCAAAGUGCACCUCCUUCGCGGCCCUCACGAGGACCCGGCAGUAAACGGCAGCUACCGCCUGCUGGGAAAGCGCUGCCUGCGUUAUAAGUGCCGGCAGCGCUUUGGCUCGCGCAGGGGCAUCGCCCUGUGGGCGCAGCUGAACGACGUCUUUACCCUGCUACCGGUGGCGGCGGUGAUUGAUGAGCGGGUAUUUGCCACGCACGGCGGCGUGCCACUGCUGCGCGCGUCGACAGCACCGGGUGGGGAGGAGGAGAAGGGUGCUGCCGUGAGGCGCCAGCGUGGGGGCAAGGCGCCAGCGCACUGCUUGUACAGCGGCACCUCUGGCUCACCGACGCCGACCUCGUCGGAUGCAAACACUCCGGUGUCCUUCUCGUGCCACCUAGCAGCAGGCGUUGGCUCCGCAGAACGGCGAACUCCCUGCUCGCACGAGAGGGGCGGCGACGAUGCCAGGCAGAGCGUGCUGUUUGCGGCGCGCCGCCCCUGCUGUAUGCGGUAUCACCGCUCACAGACACCCGUGAUGGAAAAACCACGCGAUGUUAUCACGGUGGAGUACGCCGAGGCGCAGAAAGACAUCACCGCGAUCGGGCUGCUUUCACUCGAACCGCUCUCCGGCGACCAAGUGGACGAGAGCGAUGAAUGCCCAAGGACCAGCAGAGAAUGGGCAACAGCAAGAGGUGCGGUGGCCUCCGCCACGGCCCUUCCAUCGUCCCCGACGCCUCCGAGUAGUACCGUGCCACCUCCUCGCCAGGGCAUGACGGGGGUGGCACCCGAGGGCAGAUGUGACAUGAGCGCUGCCGUUGCGCUGUCAGCUGCAACCACCCAGACCCCCGCGUCAGCACCGGUUUCGCCGUCGUCUCGGGCCGCCGACACCAGGUCCAUCGUCGCUGCCACACCUUCACACUCCGAAGCGAUGGCGCGAACGACCCCUGCGUGUAACACGCCAUCUGCUGCAACGGAUAACGUUCUGUGCGUUGUGCAUGGCGGUCGUGUCGCCACACAGAGGUCCACGGACGCGUGUCACGAGGCCUUCUCAUCGAUGGAGGGACCGCGGCGAGACGACUUUCUUCCAUUCGAGGCACUCCAGCAAGGGUGCGCUCCUCCAGCAGCGGCAGCAGCAGAGAGCUCCCCGGCACCGUGCUCCGCCGCCAGCGCAUGCGUCACCGGCUCUGAAGUGCGGAGCGCGCAGGAACGCGAGGCCGACACGUGGCUGCCUCCAACGCACACCUCGGUGGACGAGGGCGCGCCGUCCGAGGACGACUUUGCCAACCUUCUUGAGGCCAUGCACACAUGUGAGUAUGCCUUUCGCACCCUCCAGCGCUCCACCCCGUUGGAAAGCCAAGACGUGACCCGGCGUCUCCGGCUCGUGCGCGAGCUUCUGUGGAAUCGACCACGUGAGGCGACAGCCAAACUGCUCACGCCUGAGGAAGAGUUGGACAGCGAUGAAAAGAACGCGGCGGCGGUGCCGUGGUGGCGACCCUAUCGAGUGGAGGGCUGCUGCUGUUGCUGCCCUGCUGGCCGUGCGCAUCGCUGCUGCCACACCUUCGGCUCUGGCGGCCUCAUCCGCUUUUUCCUCCGCUUCCACUUUUCCAUGUUGAUACGCGGGGCGCCGGAAGACCCUUCUGAGCUGUACGGAGCUGAGUUAUCCGAAGAAGGCCGGCUGCUGACACUGAAUACGUGCAGCCGAAGGUGCAAGACGGUUUUGCAGGCGGCGGCGUGCGUGGUGGAGUCUCAGACGCUGCGCCUUGCCACGUGGGGGUCGCAGGAACUCGCCGAUUCUCUUGGACAGCUGUCACUGAGCAGUCUCCCCGGUGUUCGAGAGACGGAGGCGUCGAGGGCAGACUUUGAACAGUUUGUGUGCGAUACGCUGCGCACCCGCCUGCGCGAUCAUCACAUUGUUGGCCCGGCCGAUCAGUGGAGUGUGCUCUCAGCGUACAAGACCUACAUCCGACGGCGAGCGGCGGCCAGCGCAGCGUCGCGAAGGCUGUAGCCGGUGUGUCUGUGCCUGCGCUUGUGUGUGUGUGUGUCUGCGCACGCAACGAAUCCCUUUCCCUCCGCAUUUUGCGCGUUUUUUUUUGUUUUGCUGCUCGCGUCGCGCCUCUUCACGGCUGUAUUAUCCUCUGCUAUGUUUUCCUCAUGUCUUGGCGAUGCGUCUGCGCGGACCCUUCUGCGCUCGUGCUGACAGUCGAACCUCCGCUGUAAUAUGCUCGACGCUGUCGGGGUUCUACCCACCCCUUUCUGCCCCUCUCGGACGCAUCGCCGUGUCGAGUCGCUCUUCUUCCCUUUCCUUACGCACUUGCACACACAAGUAAAACAAGCAUGAACAAGGAGCGAAAGUGGAGACCGAUGCACAGGCCUGAUUUGGCCAAGGACGGGUCGCGCAGGCGCGCCUGCCCGUCGAUACGAUGCGUUGCCUUGUCUUCGCCCGCCCGUCCUCCGCCCCAUGGAGCCAGGCAGAGGCUAGCGACGGCACGCAGCGGUUAUGCCGUUCGCUUCCAUCAUCGCCCCCUCCUUGCUCCCUUAUCAG